GUUCCCUCGGAAGUUGUAAGUAGCCGGCCCGAUACUGUUAGCUCUCUGAGGAUUUCUUCUGAUGUUCAGUUUUCAAAUGAGAGAUUUGACGGAAAGCUGAAGAUGUGGGAAUUCUGGGAGCCAGUGCAGUGUGGACCUGCUGAGGACAACCGGGAUGUAAGCCAGAAUGGUCAGUCCUUCGGGCCACUAGCACAAGAGUUUGCCUUUCAACCAGCCAAACUUUCAGGAUCUCCUGGAGUUGCAAUGGAACCCUUGUUACCGGAUGACCCACCUCAAGAUUCCCUUUGAUACGGAAGUCACUCAAGAUAAUGCCUUUGCAGUGGAAGAUGUCAGCAAAGGACCAAGGCCUCCAGCAGCACAAAACUGUGGCGUCCUGGAAGAGAGAAAGAUUGAGCCAGGAAACCUGCUUACAGAUUUGCAUCCAUUCCUUAUAACAUCUGUGCUACAAAGAGCCGCACCUCCGGAGCUAAGAAGAGAGUGGAGGUGAGAUGCGCGUACAGAACUGGGCAGAAUGGACUGAAGGAACAGCACAGGCCGGAAAUGCUGGGACGUGGCAUGACCAGGGCAGUAAAGGGGACCCAUCGUGUCUGGACAUGUCUGGGUGUGUGCUUGACGGCAGUGAAGAUCUCUGCUUCCUGUCCUGCUGCUGAGAAGUCCCUGGGAAAAGCCAGGAGCCCAGUGCUGACCCUCAGAGGCCCUCCCACCGCACUCCCACUGGACACCCACCCACACUGGCCUGGGUAAUCCCUCCAGUUGUUGCUCCUGUGUCAAUAAAAAGGAAAGAAAAGAACACUCGGCAAGCAGCAAGAGUGUGAACACAGCCACUGCCUGAUGCCAAGAGCUGUUGCAGCUUCAACUUGCGGAGGAAAGGGAGGCACUGACAGUCCUGUAAUAGCUCUGAGAUUGUGUUAGUAGCCCUUAUGCAAGCAUUGAUCUGUGGCCACAGCUCUAGGAUCUGAAGUCCCCGAAGGCUCUAAAAGCCAAGUAUUGUUCUGUUUAUUCUGUGUGUGUUUUUUUAAAUGGUGGUGAAAUAUACAAUAAAGCCAUUGCCUU
This 1053-nucleotide long non-coding RNA is filed under the name Mus pahari (shrew mouse). Its description in RNAcentral is "lncRNA (MGP_PahariEiJ_G0005410.1)". The record is from RNAcentral. Lineage: Eukaryota; Metazoa; Chordata; Mammalia; Rodentia; Muridae.